Molecule: ribosomal RNA, 257 nt
Filed under: uncultured bacterium
Lineage: Bacteria
Description: partial 16S ribosomal RNA
Rfam family: Bacterial small subunit ribosomal RNA
Source: RNAcentral
UACGUAGGGGGCAAGCGUUGUCCGGAUUUAUUGGGCGUAAAGAGCGUGUAGGCGGUUUGGUAGGUCCGCUGUGAAAACUCGAGGCUCAACCUCGAGACGCCGGUGGAAACCAUCAGACUAGAGUCCGGAAGAGGAGGAGUAGGUAUUCCGUGGUGUAGCGGUGAAAUGCGCAGAUAUCAGGAAGAACACCCGUGGCUAAGGCGGCUCUCUAGUACGGUACUGACGCUGAGACGCGAAAGCCGUGGGGAGCGAACAGG